CAAACUGAAGUUUAAAAAUUUAGAUACAUUACUGUUAUAAACUCUUAAAAUGAGAUACCACCUGUAUAAUUUAUCAAAACCAGAUUCACACAAGCAAUGUAGUUUAGUAACUAAGAAAUUUUUCAGCAAACGCUAUUUUUCACGCUCCAAGUAUGUUUCUUACAUAUAGUAAUGGAAAAUCAAGAAUUAAACUUAAACAUAAGGUCCAUUACAUAUUAACUAAUAGCAAUCAACAACAGUAAAUCUUAUUGUUCUAGUCUUCCCAGGAGUGCAGAUUUCAAGCCCUCAUUAGUUCUGAAUCCAUUAUUAGGAAGUCUAACUACCACAUCUUGAAGCGUGAGCUCGUUAACAGUGGAUAUGCUAGCAUGGUGCACUUGAAAUUCUAGGUCGCGUAGUGCAGCCAAUAACCUAGCACCUGGAUGAUUCACAUUCUCAGAUUGAACCCUAAUCAUGGCUUCAUUACCUAUAAUCAUAACAUCAAUUUCAAGUGCAAACCCAGCUCCACCAGAAUUAUUAGGUCUGGCUUGAUCUACAGAAGUGGUUGUGCUUUGAUUAUCUGUAUUAUCAGCCACUUCCAGUUUCACCCUUUUGGACUCUCUUUGUAGGAGUGACUCCAGUUCAUCUAUUUUGGCCUUCAGUUCAUUUAUAUAGCACACUGCAUCAGAUAGCAGUGAUGCUUUGUCCAUUCUGGACACGUUGGGAACCACCGCUCGCAGGGCGUAGAACCGAUGGUUGAGCUUCUCGCGCCGCUGCCGCUCGGCCUCUACGUGGUUCAGUGCCGUGUCUCUGCCAAGCCCCGGUUUUCUCCCUCUUUUCUUCGGGAUUCUUUUAUUUAUAUUCGCUGCAAUUAAAGGAUAGUCUGAGUCAGAAUGCUCGGAGUCCACAUAGGACACGCCUGCUUUAGCAUUCUCUUUCUUUGCUUCGUCUUCUUGUGCGAACUUCUCUUUAGGGGCUGCAUCUUCUCCUUGUAUUCCUGCAAUUAUGCCCAUAUGAGCAAAAGAAAUGUUCAUGUCGAGUAACUGGAUGGGUGCUGCGGCGGGAUUGGGAUUUUUGGGCAUCAGACCGUCGGGAUCUGACCCAAGGAGAGACUUGGCUUGUUCGACAAGGCCCCAGUUCUCUCUGAUCAUAUCAGAUGAGCCCAAUUCAAGAACCCCAUUACACGUAGGUAUGCAGACCAAGGUUUGAAGGCCAUGCAUUCGUGCCUCUUUGGCUCUUUCACAGUUGUAGAAUUGGAGUUCCUGACCACCUGUUAACCACACCAAAGAAGCAGUGCUAAGUGCCUUCCCAGGAAUACCAUCUCCGGCGAAGAAAGAUCGAGUGAGGGACAUCACAUAGAACCAUUCAACGUCAUUGACAUCGCUGUUGUCCAUCAUGGACACAUCUAUGUCAUGGCUUUCGCCGAUGAGAGCUUGGAUUCCCUUGACGACUCUUUUCCUCUCGGAGUUGAAGGUUGGAAUGCGCUGUUCGCGGUGGUUGUUGAUGGUGGUUAGUUUUGGGGAUGAAUCUGUGGUGCCUUGGAAAUGGCCAUCUGCAAAGGAGAGGAAGAUGCGGCCAGUUUCAUCAUUUGAUGUUUGCCAGAAUAUAGCAUAGGUCCACCAGUCAGGCUGGCUUUGGAGCAAGAAUUGGAGCUUCUGUUGGAGAGUGGGUGGGAUUUCUUGGGAUGAAGGGACUAGAGAAGAAGAUGAAGAUGGAGAUAUGAUAAGUUCCUCCAUGGCUUCUGAAUUCUGAUUGUGAAUCAGGGCAAGCAAGCGUAGCACUGCAAUGUUUUGAGAAAAAUGAGACAAAAUAGGAACAAACCUAUAUAGAGGACUAAGAGGAGAAAUGUCUUUCUUGGUACAAGGAAGCCAAGACUUGACAAAAUCAAAGCUACUAUAACAAUUUGAUAGGAUAGGCUACGCAAAAAACAAAAUUUAAAUAAAUAAGAGAAACACCUUUUGCAGUGAUUAGAAGCUCUAGACGAUAAUAGAGAGGGGACUGGGGAGGAAGAAUGGGAAG
Molecule: unclassified non-coding RNA, 1995 nt
Filed under: Hevea brasiliensis (rubber tree)
Lineage: Eukaryota; Viridiplantae; Streptophyta; Magnoliopsida; Malpighiales; Euphorbiaceae
Source: RNAcentral